RNAcentral lists this ribosomal RNA (443 nucleotides) under uncultured Rickettsiaceae bacterium. RNAcentral describes it as "bacterial SSU rRNA". It matches the Rfam family "Bacterial small subunit ribosomal RNA", at positions 29 to 505 of the family's 1533-position model. Lineage: Bacteria; Pseudomonadati; Pseudomonadota; Alphaproteobacteria; Rickettsiales; Rickettsiaceae. The record is from RNAcentral.
AAUGAACGCUGGCGGCAGGCUUAACACAUGCAAGUCGAACGAUUAAAGCCCCUUCGGGGGUGUAUAAAGUGGCAAACGGGUGAGUAACACGUGGGAAUGUACCUUUCAGUUCGGGACAACAGUUGGAAACGACUGCUAAUACCGAAUACGCUCUACGGAGGAAAGAUUUAUCGCUGAAAGAUCAGCCCGCGCUAGAUUAGCUAGUUGGUGAGGUAAUGGCUCACCAAGGCUGUGAUCUAUAGCUGGUUUGAGAGGAUGAUCAGCCACACUGGGACUUAGAUACGGCCCAGACUCCUACGGGAGGCAGCAGUGAGGAAUAUUGGACAAUGGAGGAAACUCUGAUCCAGCCAUGCCGCGUGAGUGAUGAAGGCCCUAGGGUUGUAAAACUCUUUCAGUAAGGAAGAUAAUGACGGUACUUACAGAAGAAACCCCGGCUAACUCCG